CCGUGUACACACCGCCCGUCACACCAUGGGAGUGGGUUGCACCAGAAGUAGCUAGUCUAACCUUCGGGGGGACGGUUACCACGGUGUGAUUCAUGACUGGGGUG
RNAcentral lists this ribosomal RNA (104 nucleotides) under uncultured bacterium. RNAcentral's name for it is "partial 16S ribosomal RNA". It matches the Rfam family "Bacterial small subunit ribosomal RNA", at positions 1379 to 1482 of the family's 1533-position model. The record is from RNAcentral.